CUCAGACAAGGAAAGUGAGGCUCAGAGAGGCUUCUUGUUUAAACUCAACCUGCUGGUUAGUGCCAGAGGUCCACCCUGGGCUUAGAUCUGCUUGACAACAGUAGGCAUUGUUGGCUUGACUCCUAAAAGAAGAAGGCCACAAAUGCAAAUACAGUCGGGGUUUUGUUCUAUGGUCUGCUCUUCAGGCAACUUUUCUUGUGGUAUGUCACCUAGGUACCUGUGUUCUGUUCUGGCUCUCAGACUUGCAACUUCCUGCACAGCACGUUGUCACUCUGGUUUUAUUUUUGUCAGCUCUUCCUCUGAACCAGGCCUCACCCCAGAGAAGCAGACUCAGGGAGGGCAGGAACAGCUCUGGGGCUAUUGGGCCUAGCCCCUGGGCUGAUGUAGAAGCAUCAGUUCUGCCUCAGGCUGGGACAGCUGGAGUGUCAGCCUGCGCGUUCUGCCUGGGAUCCAGCAUGGCUGCGGUCCCUGGAGGGCUUCAGCUUCCCGCCAUUCCUGGGAGGCCUCUACAGAUGGCCACAGUUCACCUUCUGGCAAAUUCACAGCAAACUCAAGCAUGAGCUGCAAGUGCUGAGGACAGCUUAUUGCAGUUCAUUCUCCUGAGUAACUCCACACACACCUAGCAAAUGACAGGCCCCUGAGAUGGAUUCAUCUGAUACCAGGAGCCUCUAGGACCCAGAAAUUUAACUGUCAAUCAAGAGGCAUGUGAGGGAAAGUCCAGCCCAGCCUGGGUGCCAGAAGGUCUGGAUUCCUGGUCUGCACAUUCCCUACAACUCUGGGCAGAGAUCUCAUAUGUACUUCUGGCUCAGCUACUAACUUAGCUGUGUGGCUUUAGGUGACCCACUUAACUUCUCUGAAUCUGUUUCUCCAUUUGUAAAAUAAAAGGUUUGGACUAGGGAAUCCCCAAA
Homo sapiens (human) is the source of this 908-nucleotide long non-coding RNA. RefSeq lists it as uncharacterized. The transcript is spliced from 2 exons. Lineage: Eukaryota; Metazoa; Chordata; Mammalia; Primates; Hominidae. The record is from RefSeq and is a predicted model, not a curated record.